RNAcentral lists this ribosomal RNA (274 nucleotides) under uncultured bacterium. Its description in RNAcentral is "partial 16S ribosomal RNA". It matches the Rfam family "Bacterial small subunit ribosomal RNA", at positions 523 to 796 of the family's 1533-position model. The record is from RNAcentral.
AUACAGAGGGUGCGAGCGUUAAUCGGAAUUACUGGGCGUAAAGCGCGCGUAGGCGGCUGAUUAAGUCAGAUGUGAAAUCCCCGGGCUCAACCUGGGAACUGCAUCUGAUACUGGUAAGCUAGAGUUUUGGAGAGGGAAGUAGAAUUUCAGGUGUAGCGGUGAAAUGCAUAGAGAUCUGAAGGAAUACCAGUGGCGAAGGCGACUUCCUGGCCAAAAACUGACGCUGAGGUGCGAAAGCGUGGGUAGCAAACGGGAUUAGAAACCCCAGUAGUCC